RNAcentral lists this ribosomal RNA (501 nucleotides) under uncultured bacterium. RNAcentral describes it as "partial 16S ribosomal RNA". It matches the Rfam family "Bacterial small subunit ribosomal RNA", at positions 28 to 523 of the family's 1533-position model. The record is from RNAcentral.
GUUGAACGCUGGCGGCAGGCUUAACACAUGCAAGUCGAGCGGAGAUGAGGUGCUUGCACCUUAUCUUAGCGGCGGACGGGUGAGUAAUGCUUAGGAAUCUGCCUAUUAGUGGGGGACAACAUUCCGAAAGGAAUGCUAAUACCGCAUACGUCCUACGGGAGAAAGCAGGGGAUCUUCGGACCUUGCGCUAAUAGAUGAGCCUAAGUCGGAUUAGCUAGUUGGGGGGGUAAAGGCCUACCAAGGCGACGAUCUGUAGCGGGUCUGAGAGGAUGAUCCGCCCAACUGGGACUGGGACACGGCCCAGACUCCGACGGGAGGCAGCAGUGGGGAAUAUUGGACAAUGGGGGGAACCCUGAUCCAGCCAUGCCGCGUGUGUGAAGAAGGCCUUAUGGUUGUAAAGCACUUUAAGCGAGGAGGAGGCUACUGAGACUAAUACCCUUGGAUUGUGGACGUUACUCGCAGAAUAAGCACCGGCUAACUCUGUGCCAGCCGCCGCCGUAA